AGUUCGAUCCUGGCUCAGAUUGAACGCUGGCGGGAUGCUUUACACAUGCAAGUCGAACGGCAGCACGGACUUCGGUCUGGUGGCGAGUGGCGUGGUGGAAAUAAUGUAUCGGAACGUGCCCUAGUAGCGGGGGAUAACUACGCCAAGCGUAGCUAAUACCACCAUCGCCCUUCGGGGAAAGCGAGACCUUCGGGCCUCGCACUGUGGAAGCGGCCGAUAUCGGGUCAGCUGGUGGUGGAGAUAACGGCUCACCAAGGCGACGAUCCGUAGCUGGUUUGAAGACCAGCCACACUGGGACUGAACACGGCGCUGAACUCCUACGGAGGCAGCAGUGGGGAAUUUUUGGACAAUGAAGCAGUCCAGCCAUCCCGCGUGUGCGAUGAAGGCCUUCGGGUUGUAAAGCACUUUUGGCAGGAAAGAAACGUACGGAUAAAUACACACAGUGCAACAGCCAGUACCUGCAGAAUAAGCACCGGCUAUUUAGUGCCCGGCAGCGCGGUGUACGUAGGGUGCAAGCGUUAAUCGGAAAUUACUGAGGCGCUAAAGCGUGCGCAGACGGUUCGGAAAGAAAGAUGUGAAAUCCCAGGCUUAACUUUGGAACUGCAUUUUUAACUACCGAGCUAGAGUGUGUCAGGGAGGUGGAAUUCCGCCGAUGUAAAGCAGUGAAAGGCGUAGAUAUGCGGAGGAACACCGAUGGCGAAACUUUCAGCCUCCUCAGGGUCGCACUGACGCUCGCGUGCCGCGAAAAGCAGUGAGGAGCAACAGGAUUAGAUACCUGGUAGUCCACGCCUAAACGAUGUCAACUAGCUGUUGGGGCCUUCGGGCCUUGGUAGCCCGCAGCUACUUAGGAUUGACCGCCUGGGAAAUACAGUCGCAAGAUUAAAACUCAAAGAAAUUGACGGGGAUAUUACCUAAGCAGUGGAUAAGUGUGGAUUAAUUCGAUGCAACGCGAAAAACCUUACCUACCUUGACAUGUCUGGAUGAAGAUUUGGGAGUGCUCGCAAGAGAACAGAACAGGUGCUGCAUGGCUGUCGUCAGCUCGUGUCGUGAGAUGUUGGGUUAAGUCCCGCAACGAGCGCAACCCUUGUCGUGGUUUGCUGCGAAAGACACUCAAUGAGACUGCCGGUGACAAACCGGAGGAAGGUGGGGAUGACGUCAAGUCCUCAUGGCCCUUAUGGGUAGGGCUUCACACGUCAUACAAUGGUCAGGGACAGAGGGUCGCCAACCCGCGAGGGGAGCCAAUCCCAGAAACCCGAUCAGUCCGGAUCGCAGUCUGCAACUCGACUGCGUGAAGUCGGAAUCGCUAGUAAUCGCGGAUCCAGCAUGUCGCGGUGAAUACGUUCCCCGGGUCUUGUACACCGCCCGUCACACCAUGGGAGUGGGUUUUACAGAAGUAGUUAGCCUAACCGUAAGGAGGGCGAUUACCACGGUAGGAUUCAUGACUGGGGUGAAGUCGUAACAAGGUAA
This 1467-nucleotide ribosomal RNA is filed under the name uncultured Bordetella sp. Its description in RNAcentral is "partial 16S-23S ribosomal RNA intergenic spacer". It matches the Rfam family "Bacterial small subunit ribosomal RNA". Lineage: Bacteria; Pseudomonadati; Pseudomonadota; Betaproteobacteria; Burkholderiales; Alcaligenaceae. The record is from RNAcentral.